CACUCUCUAAGAUUUGCUGUCUGCAUCCUGUCUUUUUAAAGGGAUACUCAGGUGACAUUGCUAUAGGUCUGCUUUUCACACCUCACUGUGCUAUGUUCACCUAGGUCAGCAAUAAUACUGUAUAUCUGCAUGUGAAAGGCUUUUGUUUUUCUGCUAGGCAGGGAUGACAACCAGAUGAAGCCUUAACCUCUCCUGAUAAUGUUAAAACAAAAAACAGAAUCUCCAAAUUGUCACUAAGGUGAGCACUGAAAAUAUGUUAAUCUACAUGUCAGAUUAUCAUCAAUAGACACCCAUG
Pelobates cultripes (western spadefoot toad) is the source of this 295-nucleotide non-coding RNA. Lineage: Eukaryota; Metazoa; Chordata; Amphibia; Anura; Pelobatidae. The record is from the annotation of a GenBank genome assembly.